UACGGAGGGUGCAAGCGUUAUCCGGAUUCACUGGGUUUAAAGGGUGCGUAGGUGGGUUGGUAAGUCAGUGGUGAAAUCUCCGUGCUUAACAUGGAAACUGCCAUUGAUACUACUGAUCUUGAAUUUUCUGGAGGUAAGCGGAAUAUGUCAUGUAGCGGUGAAAUGCUUAGAUAUGACAUAGAACACCAAUUGCGAAGGCAGCUUGCUACAGGGAUAUUGACACUGAGGCACGAAAGCGUGGGGAGCAAACAGG
RNAcentral lists this ribosomal RNA (253 nucleotides) under uncultured bacterium. Its description in RNAcentral is "partial 16S ribosomal RNA". It matches the Rfam family "Bacterial small subunit ribosomal RNA", at positions 524 to 776 of the family's 1533-position model. The record is from RNAcentral.